UGGCGGACGGGUGAGUAACGCGUGAGGAACCUGCCUUUCAGAGGGGGAUAACGCCUGGAAACGGACGCUAAUACCGCAUGACAUUCCAGUGCCACAUGGUGCAGGAAUCAAAGGAUCAAUCCGCUGAAAGAUGGACUCGCGUCCGAUUAGCCAGUUGGCGGGGUAACGGCCCACCAAAGCGACGAUCGGUAGCCGGACUGAGAGGUUGAACGGCCACAUUGGGACUGAGACACGGCCCAGACUCCUACGGGAGGCAGCAGUGGGGGAUAUUGCACAAUGGAGGAAACUCUGAUGCAGCAACGCCGCGUGAGGGAAGAAGGUCUUCGGAUUGUAAACCUUUGUCCUUGGUGACGAUAAUGACGGUAGCCAAGGAGGAAGCUCCGGCUAACUACGUGCCAGCAGCCGCGGUAAU
This 412-nucleotide ribosomal RNA is filed under the name bacterium enrichment culture clone N3h20. RNAcentral describes it as "bacterial SSU rRNA". It matches the Rfam family "Bacterial small subunit ribosomal RNA", at positions 96 to 524 of the family's 1533-position model. The record is from RNAcentral.